RNAcentral lists this ribosomal RNA (343 nucleotides) under Monacha sp. Cec2_1. RNAcentral's name for it is "partial 16S ribosomal RNA". The record is from RNAcentral. Lineage: Eukaryota; Metazoa; Mollusca; Gastropoda; Stylommatophora; Hygromiidae.
AUAAUCAGUUGGCUUAUAAUUGAAGUCUGGUAUGAAAGGGAAUUCGGGGUGUUACUAUCUUAAAAUAAUAAACAUGAAAUUACUUAAUAAGUGAAAAUUCUUAUAAUAAUAAAAUAGACGAGAAGACCCUAGAAAUUUUUUUAAAAUUACCUUUUUUUUUGUUGGGGCGACAGGAUAACAAAGAACUUAUCUACAUAAUUAAGAAAUUUAUAUAUAGUGUAACUAAAUUACUCUAGGGAUAACAGCAUAAUAUUGAAAAGUUUGUGACCUCGAUGUUGGACUAGGAAAUGUAUUACCUAAAAGGUAAUAUAAUUGGCCCUGUUCGUGCUAUAAUAUCCUACAU